AAGCUGCCUGCUCCACUGAAGAGGACAAUCUUCCCCUGGUACAUGAGGAUCAGUAUUUGAUCAAAGUAUCUGUUUCAUGAUCACAAGGCAUUGGAAUAAGCUUUUAGCCAGAAAAUUCCAGCCAAUAAAGUGUCACCGUGAGAGCCGCUUAGACAAGACUGAAAAUCUACAAGAUGACAUCAGUUAAUACAGGAAGACAGCUGAAAAUGUGGCGCAUUCAUAGAGAAGGCGAGUUGGAGAAUUUUAUGCUUGAGAAGAAGAUAAAGAAUCUCUAUGGAUGUUUGAAUUUUGGAAAGAGACUACAUGCAUGAAGAAUAACGUAUAGUAGAAAUGAAUAAAACAAGAUCAAACUACUGUCAUCCAUGUAGACUGUAAGUCAGAUGGCUUUGUCUUCGUAGUUUUAUUUUUCAAACAUUCACUUGUAUUAUUUUCAUAGAACUAUUUUAACAGAAUUUCUCAUUCUCCCAACUUUUACAAGUCCACUAAGGACACAGGUGACACGUGCUACUUUAUCACAUGCUCUGAUUUCCCUGAAAUCCUUCAAAAUAACAGACAUUGAAUAACUAUUUUUAAGAAUGAUUUAUAAUCCAAACCAAUCUAGACUUCAUGUAACAUGUUGCAGUUACAAAAUGAUUAAGAUCAGUGCCAAAAUAUAAAUUUCUCAUAGUGCCACCUGCAAAUUUGUCUAAAGAAAUCAAUAAAUAUGUAUGCAUGGUCAUGUCAGAAUGC
This 729-nucleotide small RNA is filed under the name Rattus norvegicus (Norway rat). RNAcentral describes it as "uncharacterized LOC102546496". The record is from RNAcentral. Lineage: Eukaryota; Metazoa; Chordata; Mammalia; Rodentia; Muridae.